AACGAACGCUGGCGGUGUGCUUAACACAUGCAAGUCGAACGAGAAAGUUUCCUUCGGGAAGCGAGUAAAGUGGCGCAAGGGUGAGUAACACGUGAAUAAUCUACCCUCGAGACUGGGAGUAACCUGGUGAAACUAAGGCUAAUACCGGAUAAGACCACGUCCCGCAAGGAGUGCGGGAAAGGAGGCUCAACCUCCACUUGUGGAUGAGUUCGCGGACCAUUAGCUUGUUGGUGAGAUAACAGCUCACCAAGGCUACGAUGGUUAGCCGGCCUGAGAGGGCGAUCGGCCACACUGGAACUGAGACACGGUCCAGACUCCUACGGGAGGCAGCAGUGGGGGAAUAUUGCGCAAUGGGCGAAAGCCUGACGCAGCAAUGCCGCGUGAGGGAUG
This 390-nucleotide ribosomal RNA is filed under the name uncultured Nitrospina sp. RNAcentral's name for it is "bacterial SSU rRNA". It matches the Rfam family "Bacterial small subunit ribosomal RNA", at positions 29 to 410 of the family's 1533-position model. Lineage: Bacteria; Pseudomonadati; Nitrospinota; Nitrospinia; Nitrospinales; Nitrospinaceae. The record is from RNAcentral.